Long non-coding RNA from Peromyscus eremicus (cactus mouse), 563 nucleotides. RefSeq lists it as uncharacterized. NCBI's taxonomy places the organism in Eukaryota, Metazoa, Chordata, Mammalia, Rodentia, Cricetidae. The record is from RefSeq and is a predicted model, not a curated record. The transcript is spliced from 3 exons.
GUGUGUGUGUGUGUGUGUGUGUGUGUGUGUGUAAUUCAUUGGAAUGACUUACAGGCUGCAGUCCAACAAUGGCUAGCUAUGAAUGGAAAGUUCAAGAACCUAGUAGUUGCUCAGUCCCAGAGACUGGGUGUUUCAGCUGGGCUUCUGUAUAUGCUGGAAUCCUGAAGAAGUAGACUCUAGACUCUAAGGCCAAUGAAGGAAUGUGUGUACUGACAAGGUGAGGGCAAGCAGGUGAAGAAUAAAUGAACUCUUCCUUUUCUAUUCUCCUUAUAUAAGCUUCCAGCAGAAAGUGUAGCCCAGAUUAAAGUUGUGUCUUCCUGCCUCAAGAUCUGGAUUAAAGGAAAAAAGGACCAGACAUCAAUGAAGACAAGAUGCCCAGCUCCUGCUUCCAGGUUCCUUCGCUGUUUUGAGUUCCUAUCCUGACUUCCUUCAGUGAUAAACACGGAUAUGGUAAGCAAUGUGAACCCUUUUCUCCCCAAUUUGCUUUUGGUCAUGAUGUUUCAUUGCAGCCAUGGAAACCCUAGCUAAGAAAAGUUGGUACCAGGAGUGGGGUAUUGCUGUGA